RNAcentral lists this ribosomal RNA (1554 nucleotides) under Escherichia coli. RNAcentral's name for it is "bacterial SSU rRNA". It matches the Rfam family "Bacterial small subunit ribosomal RNA". The record is from RNAcentral. Lineage: Bacteria; Pseudomonadati; Pseudomonadota; Gammaproteobacteria; Enterobacterales; Enterobacteriaceae.
AAAUUGAAGAGUUUGAUCAUGGCUCAGAUUGAACGCUGGCGGCAGGCCUAACACAUGCAAGUCGAACGGUAACAGGAAACAGCUUGCUGUUUCGCUGACGAGUGGCGGACGGGUGAGUAAUGUCUGGGAAACUGCCUGAUGGAGGGGGAUAACUACUGGAAACGGUAGCUAAUACCGCAUAACGUCGCAAGACCAAAGAGGGGGACCUUCGGGCCUCUUGCCAUCGGAUGUGCCCAGAUGGGAUUAGCUAGUAGGUGGGGUAACGGCUCACCUAGGCGACGAUCCCUAGCUGGUCUGAGAGGAUGACCAGCCACACUGGAACUGAGACACGGUCCAGACUCCUACGGGAGGCAGCAGUGGGGAAUAUUGCACAAUGGGCGCAAGCCUGAUGCAGCCAUGCCGCGUGUAUGAAGAAGGCCUUCGGGUUGUAAAGUACUUUCAGCGGGGAGGAAGGGAGUAAAGUUAAUACCUUUGCUCAUUGACGUUACCCGCAGAAGAAGCACCGGCUAACUCCGUGCCAGCAGCCGCGGUAAUACGGAGGGUGCAAGCGUUAAUCGGAAUUACUGGGCGUAAAGCGCACGCAGGCGGUUUGUUAAGUCAGAUGUGAAAUCCCCGGGCUCAACCUGGGAACUGCAUCUGAUACUGGCAAGCUUGAGUCUCGUAGAGGGGGGUAGAAUUCCAGGUGUAGCGGUGAAAUGCGUAGAGAUCUGGAGGAAUACCGGUGGCGAAGGCGGCCCCCUGGACGAAGACUGACGCUCAGGUGCGAAAGCGUGGGGAGCAAACAGGAUUAGAUACCCUGGUAGUCCACGCCGUAAACGAUGUCGACUUGGAGGUUGUGCCCUUGAGGCGUGGCUUCCGGAGCUAACGCGUUAAGUCGACCGCCUGGGGAGUACGGCCGCAAGGUUAAAACUCAAAUGAAUUGACGGGGGCCCGCACAAGCGGUGGAGCAUGUGGUUUAAUUCGAUGCAACGCGAAGAACCUUACCUGGUCUUGACAUCCACAGAACUUUCCAGAGAUGGAUUGGUGCCUUCGGGAACUGUGAGACAGGUGCUGCAUGGCUGUCGUCAGCUCGUGUUGUGAAAUGUUGGGUUAAGUCCCGCAACGAGCGCAACCCUUAUCCUUUGUUGCCAGCGGUCCGGCCGGGAACUCAAAGGAGACUGCCAGUGAUAAACUGGAGGAAGGUGGGGAUGACGUCAAGUCAUCAUGGCCCUUACGACCAGGGCUACACACGUGCUACAAUGGCGCAUACAAAGAGAAGCGAUCUCGCGAGAGCAAGCGGACCUCAUAAAGUGCGUCGUAGUCCGGAUUGGAGUCUGCAACUCGACUCCAUGAAGUCGGAAUCGCUAGUAAUCGUGGAUCAGAAUGCCACGGUGAAUACGUUCCCGGGCCUUGUACACACCGCCCGUCACACCAUGGGAGUGGGUUGCAAAAGAAGUAGGUAGCUUAACCUUCGGGAGGGCGCUUACCACUUUGUGAUUCAUGACUGGGGUGAAGUCGUAACAAGGUAACCGUAGGGGAACCUGCGGUUGGAUCACCUCCUUACCUUAAAGAAGC